Molecule: ribosomal RNA, 159 nt
Filed under: Amylomyces rouxii
Lineage: Eukaryota; Fungi; Mucoromycota; Mucoromycetes; Mucorales; Mucoraceae
Also listed under: 2 other names
Description: 5.8S ribosomal RNA
Rfam family: 5.8S ribosomal RNA
About the family: 5.8S ribosomal RNA (5.8S rRNA) is a component of the large subunit of the eukaryotic ribosome. It is transcribed by RNA polymerase I as part of the 45S precursor that also contains 18S and 28S rRNA.
Source: RNAcentral
AAACAACUUUUAACAACGGAUCUCUUGGUUCUCGCAUCGAUGAAGAACGUAGCAAAGUGCGAUAACUAGUGUGAAUUGCAUAUUCAGUGAAUCAUCGAGUCUUUGAACGCAACUUGCGCUCAUUGGUAUUCCAAUGAGCACGCCUGUUUCAGUAUCAAA